CCUACGGGUGGCAGCAGUGGGGAAUAUUGCGCAAUGGGCGAAAGCCUGACGCAGCGACGCCGCGUGAGGGAUGAAGGUCUUCGGAUCGUAAACCUCUGUCAGCAGGGAAGAACGGUCACUGUGCUAAUCAGCAGUGAAUUGACGGUACCUGCAAAGGAAGCACCGGCUAACUACGUGCCAGCAGCCGCGGUAAUACGGAGGGUGCGAGCGUUAAUCGGAAUUACUGGGCGUAAAGCGCUCGUAGGCGGUAUGUCAAGUCAAGGGUGAAAUCCCCGCGCUCAACGUGGGAACUGCCUUUGAAACUGGCAAACUGGAGUGUGUGAGAGGAUAGUGGAAGUCCAGGUGUAGGAGUGAAAUCCGUAGAUAUCUGGAGGAACAUCAGUGGCGAAGGCGACUAUCUGGAACGUAACUGACGCUGAGGAGCGAAAGCGUGGGUAGCAAACAGGAUUAGAUACCCCAGUAGUC
RNAcentral lists this ribosomal RNA (465 nucleotides) under uncultured bacterium. Its description in RNAcentral is "partial 16S ribosomal RNA". It matches the Rfam family "Bacterial small subunit ribosomal RNA", at positions 338 to 795 of the family's 1533-position model. The record is from RNAcentral.